GUGCGCUGUAUAGUAAACCUGGUCCGCUAUACAGCGCACCACUUCCGAAAUUAGGUCCGACGCACGGAUUUGGAGAAAAAUCCAACUUCCCUAGUCGAAAAUUCCGGGUUUCAACUGCACGGACAAUAUAACACCCAGUGACCCAGUGGAGAAAUUUCCGUUCGACGAAAAGUUUUCCCCGGCUGGAGAAGGAAUCGAACCCACACUCCGAGGCUUACGAGACACCUAAACGACUAACGCGGCUAACCGCUCGGCCACGGAGCCACACAAUGGAUGAUGGUGAUGGAUUUUAUAUUUGUUUACGUAGUAUUACUAACUGAACUUAUUUUGUGUAGUCUGCAAAAGUUUGAGUCUCGCACGUGGUGACAGGUGACUAUAAAUUACUUUUUUCUGUAUUUAUUUAUCAUAUGGAAUAUAUGUACUGUUGAAGGAUUCUGUAGAUUAGUAGUGAGUUGUCUAGUUGAAUGUCAGGAAUUUCUUGAGAAUGAGAAUAUUGCCAGCUGUAUUUGACAUCGCGCGAACGUUAUUAAUCAUCACAAUACUUUUGAUUUUCUGAUCUUUCAUGAUUACUAGUAAUGCCUUGUGCGCAACCGACUUACAGUGGAUUUGGUUCGGUCUGGUGAAUGUGAUUAGGAAAAAUAGUGAUCAGCGCCAUCGAUAUAAUAAGUGGAUGCUCCGAUUCCCGUAUUUUUAUUAACAUGCUCAAUUGACUCACAGAUUGUUGCUGUAAGUUGGUAAGAAGUUAGAAAACUAAAGGCGAUGAGGAAAAUCUGAAGUGUUCAUCAUCUGGACCUAAAUUAAAAUAUUUCGCUGUUUCCAUGGAAUGGUUUACUCUUGUUGAAUAAACUUUUAUUUUUGUGUGUUCUGCCAAACAGAAAUUUUGAAUUUACUCCACGAAGAGUUGUUAGAAUCACUGGAUUUUUACAUGGCAGGAAGAUUAUCUUCUUUAUCUAAUAUGGUUGAGAAAACUCAAUUUUCAAAAAAUGGUCUUUGGUUCGGUUUAGCAGAACCCCGACCAUAUAUUCAUGAUGCACACUCAAAACAAUCCAAACGUCAUUGCUACGUGAAAAAUCACGUACCAUCGAAAAAUUGUUCAUUUGCUUCAUUUUACCUGACGCACAUAACCCUCACCAAGGCAAUCAUAAAUAUCAAAUGAUGUGCCUGUUACCAUAACGAAAUUGCCCGGUACUCCUUAAGCUUAAAUGAAAGUCACAUACCCACUCCAGUUCAUUUCCAUAACUUCAUUUUGCAUUCACUCAAUGCCGCACUGAACUAGCUUUCAAAAUAUCAAGAUGGCGGAAUUGAAAACAAAUCUCAGCAGUACUUUUAAUUUCGUUUGUUUCUCAGCAUUUUCAUUACAUUAUGGAUAAUUAUCGGGUUCCGGAAAGCUGUCAUGCCAUCGAAGAAAUAACCUCCCGCGGAAGGGCUUAUCAAGAAAUGGACGGAUGAAGAAAGUUAUAAUCAACUAAAAUUUGAGCUGAGCAGCACCUAAUUUCACUUUAUUAAUUAUCAUUUAGCUGAGCGGGAGUGAAUUUUAAGCAAACCCGUUUAAGUGUGCUCCUUUGUGUGAAAUUCUACUAAAUAAAUGAAUAUCCUUGCAUGAUUACGUCCAGGAUUACGUUUGCAUUACUGUACUUUUGUAUACUUUCAAUCCGGUCGAUCCGUCCACGAUACUGCUGGCCAAUAGAGCACUUGCUGGCUUUGUUUAGCAGACCAAUUUGAUUAUGCUGGGAAUUGGUUUGUAACGGAUAACACGUUACGAGGCGUUUCCCCGCGAAAUCAGAUGGGACUAUUGGGUACAGUAAACAAACCAGCAAUUGCGCUAUGUUGGAAUGCAGUGUUUCUGACAUAUUUCAUUAAUAAAAAUAAUAGGACGCUAUGUAAGAGCUACAGGCGAGCUCUGUAACAGGUACAGAAAAAGUUAGUAGCUGCUACGUGGAAAAUCACGUAUUAUGAGAAAGGUCAAUGGAAUGAUUGUUCAUGGAUGAAUACUGAGUUCAUCCCUUGACACUUGUGUUUCACGUACUGCCCAUAACUGCAUAACAGUCACUUUCGACAUAAGUAGGCAUUGGAGAAAAUGGAGCUUAAAGUUUGCAACUUGCGUUAGUAUGGAAAAGGAUUGAAAUUUAAAAAAUAUGCCAAAAAUUCAAAAUUAAUCCUUUUGCAAUGAAAUCUCCUAAUGCUCUUCUUCUAUACUGGGCGAAGAGUUGUAAAAAUAAAUAGACUAAAAUAUGAUUGGCGGUACGCGGGGCCGGGUCACAACGUCCGAGGCCAUACAGUCCCGGACAUUAAGUCGCGUUUUUUUGCGAAAUAGCGUCCAAAAGUUUGGAUGCGUCAUAACAUCCUAUGUGCCUUCUUUCCUUGGACUUCGUGGCGUAUCUGCAAGUUCGGACGUUAUGCCCCGAAAAAAUGCGCCAUAAAGUCCUGGGACUUUAUGGCCUCGGACGUUAUGAUACUGCGCCGCGGUACGCUAUGAAGCCAGUGUGUAUUCUCAGCGUGACUGUUAUGCUGUUACAUUCAUGAAUAUUUAAUAAUGAGACAAAAUGACUUGGUAUUUAUUUCACAUUUUGUAGAACAAACUUAUCAAGUUCAUUUGGGUGCAUGAAAGUACUGAUCCCCGGAAAUAACUCAAUAUUGACAAAAACUGUAAAUGUUACAGAUAUGCAGUUAUGGGCAGCGUAGGUACUACGUGAAAAGUGCGAUGGAAAAAAAACCACGUAUGUUUUCACGUAACAAUGACGUUUGGUUUUUUUUCAGUGUACAUCUGGCCAACGUGCCUCUUCAUGUGACUCUUUCACUCAAGGUUUUUUACGAUAUUGAGAAAGCAUUCACUCAAAAGCAAUCGUGUUUGAGUGUUUUCCUAGAUAUUGAGAUUUAGAGUGCUUUUGACAACGUCCCUUCCGAUGCCAUAGUGAAAGCCGCACGGAAUCAUGGUAUAUCUCCAAUUAUUUCCCGAUCGACAUCUCUUCUUGACAUUGCGUCAAGCAGCAAUUACGAAAUUUUGUGUUUGUGAAUGCCCUCAAGGGGGAGUCUUGUCAACACUUCUGUGGAAUCUUGUAGCUGAUACGUUAUUGAGGCAACUCAAUGAUAGCGGGUUUUCGACUGUGCUACUUUUUCCCGAUCGUCAGUUCCCCGCAUGUCGUUUACCCGAACGCCAGUUCGCCGAGUGUCCUUUUCCUCGAAAGCAUGUGGUCAAAGACUAGGGUAACGGUCGAAUUUUGGACCCCUAGAGGACAUUAAUUUGAAUGUAAGCUAAAAUCAAUCAGAUUCAGAGAGUAUUACACACAAUGAUGAUGUUGACAUGACCGUAAAAGCCUCCACUGUCCGUCAAAAAUACCCACAGUGUCAUUUCUGGCUGAAAAUUUGAUGAAAAUAAUUGACUUUUGAAGCACCAGUUUACACUGUUUUGGACACCCCAAUGUAUUUUGGACCCUCUUAAGUAUAUAUUUUGGACACUCGGCGUUUAAACCCGCUUGCGACUAGUUUCGAAGAAUCUGUCACUUGGAUAUGCUGGAUCACAACCUAAUUACUUGAUUGACAAAGGCUGAUUAGACGAACUUUGCGAAUUUAAUGCGCUAGGAUGAUAAACGUUUUUGUUUACAUCUGCAAGUUUGCCCAGUACCACUUUUUCUUUUCGUAAACAAGCAGCGACACUCGCACGGAUGACGAGAUUAACAAAACAUAAUUUCAAGGUAAAUAAUGAUAUUUCCAGUGAGGAAAUGAUUGCUGCUCGUGCAGAACAACCUAAUUUAGCGAAUGAUUCUAAAAAAUUUCGCCAUCUCUUCAUUAAAUCUGGGAAAAUUAUGAUAAUACGGCCCAGGGGGUCCAAAAUAUAUGGGGGUCCAAAUUAUAUUGGUUACCCUACUCGAUCAUUAAGAUAUCGUGAUCACCGCAACGGCACUUUUACUUGAAACAACUGAUUCAUUUUAUGGCUUUAUUUUCCUCAGAGUGUAAAGGAGUAGAGAUAUUAUUUUACUCAGAGUGUAAAGGAGUAGAGAUCAAAGUGCAUAAUGAAAUGAUAGAUGUGCUAGUAUUCGCUAGGUAGCGAACAAGUGUGAAAAUUUAUAGAAGGUGUAAUUAGGCAUGAAGGCCAUGUCUUGAACGAAUACAUCGAAUGCGUGAAGCCUUUCACGCAUUCAAGAUUAAUAGAGUUAAAGAAGGGUGCAUGUUGGGGUACAUAACAGAUUAUUCGGGAAAAUGAGUCAUUCAGAGAGAAGUACCAAUCGGGGAAACGUCAUUCGG
This is a long non-coding RNA of Aedes albopictus (Asian tiger mosquito), 4242 nucleotides long. RefSeq lists it as uncharacterized. NCBI's taxonomy places the organism in Eukaryota, Metazoa, Arthropoda, Insecta, Diptera, Culicidae. The record is from RefSeq and is a predicted model, not a curated record. The transcript is spliced from 2 exons.